UACGAAGGGUGCAAGCGUUACUCGGAAUUACUGGGCGUAAAGCGUGCGUAGGUGGUUCGUUAAGUCUGUCGUGAAAGCCCCGGGCUCAACCUGGGAAUGGCGAUGGAUACUGGCGGGCUAGAGUGCGGUAGAGGAGAGUGGAAUUCCCGGUGUAGCGGUGAAAUGCGUAGAGAUCGGGAGGAACACCAGUGGCGAAGGCGGCCUUCUGGACCAGCACUGACACUCAAGCACGAAAGCGUGGGGAGCAAACAGG
Molecule: ribosomal RNA, 253 nt
Filed under: uncultured bacterium
Lineage: Bacteria
Description: partial 16S ribosomal RNA
Rfam family: Bacterial small subunit ribosomal RNA
Source: RNAcentral